UUUACCGUGAGGUAUGCACUGAAGGCAGCGAGACUGCAAAAUCCGGUACUGACGAACAGGAAGGGUAUACGAGGCUAUAAAGCGAGGAUAAGCAAACCCGCCAUUGUAAAGUCCCAACCCCACAAGACGUUUUAUAGUAUAUACCACAGGCAUCGGAAGAAGGAAAAAAGC
Bacteroidetes bacterium GWF2_40_14 is the source of this 171-nucleotide non-coding RNA. The record is from Rfam. Lineage: Bacteria; Pseudomonadati; Bacteroidota.